GUGGGGAAUAUUGGACAAUGGGCGAAAGCCUGAUCCAGCCAUGCCGCGUGUGUGAAGAAGGUCUUCGGAUUGUAAAGCACUUUAAGUUGGGAGGAAGGGCAGUAAGUUAAUACCUUGCUGUUUUGACGUUACCGACAGAAUAAGCACCGGCUAACUUCGUGCCAGCAGCCGCGGUAAUACGAAGGGUGCAAGCGUUAAUCGGAAUUACUGGGCGUAAAGCGUGCGCAGGCGGUGCUGUAAGACAGGCGUGAAAUCCCCGGGCUCAACCUGGGAACUGCCUCCAAAACUGCAUGACUAGAGUACGGUAGAGGGUAGUGGAAUUUCCUGUGUAGCGGUGAAAUGCGUAGAUAUAGGAAGGAACACCAGUGGCGAAGGCGACUACCUGGACUGAUACUGACACUGAGGUGCGAAAGCGUGGGGAGCAAACAGGAUUAGAUACCCCUGUAGUCC
This 450-nucleotide ribosomal RNA is filed under the name uncultured bacterium. RNAcentral's name for it is "partial 16S ribosomal RNA". It matches the Rfam family "Bacterial small subunit ribosomal RNA", at positions 354 to 796 of the family's 1533-position model. The record is from RNAcentral.